Molecule: ribosomal RNA, 301 nt
Filed under: uncultured bacterium
Lineage: Bacteria
Description: partial 16S ribosomal RNA
Rfam family: Bacterial small subunit ribosomal RNA
Source: RNAcentral
CAGUCGCCGCGGUAAUACGAAGGGUGCAAGCGUUACUCGGAAUUACUGGGCGUAAAGCGUGCGUAGGUGGUGGUUUAAGUCCGUUGUGAAAGCCCUGGGCUCAACCUGGGAAUUGCAGUGGAUACUGGGUCACUAGAGUGUGGUAGAGGAUAGUGGAAUUUCCGGUGUAGCGGUGAAAUGCGUAGAGAUCGGAAGGAACAUCUGUGGCGAAGGCGACUAUCUGGGCCAACACUGACACUGAGGCACGAAAGCGUGGGGAGCAAACAGGAUUAGAUACCCCUGUAGUCCCUGUCUCUUAUAC